RNAcentral lists this small RNA (791 nucleotides) under Pan troglodytes (chimpanzee). RNAcentral's name for it is "processed transcript". The record is from RNAcentral. Lineage: Eukaryota; Metazoa; Chordata; Mammalia; Primates; Hominidae.
GGCGGGGAGGGGAGGGGCCGGGCGGGAGGAGCCGCUCGCCGGUUUUGCCGCCUCUGCCUUCGCCUUCGCAGCCGCCUCCAGGGCAAUUUGCAUAUUUCUCCAAGAACCAUCCAGAACCUGAGCAGCCUGUCUUCAGACAGAGAGAGGCCCACGGCUGUUUCUUGAAAUCUGGGGCUGGGAAUGGCCAUGUGGAACAGGCCAUGCCAGAGGCUGCCUCAGCAGCCUCUGGUAGCUGAGCCCACUGCAGAGGGGGAGCCACACCUGCCCACGGGCCGGGAGCUGACUGAGGCCAACCGCUUCGCCUAUGCUGCCCUCUGUGGCAUCUCCCUGUCCCAGCUAUUUCCUGAACCCGAACACAGCUCCUUCUGCACAGAGUUCAUGGCAGGCCUGGUGAAGUGGCUGGAGUUGUCCGAAGCCGUCUUGCCAACCAUGACUGCUUUUGCGAGCGGCCUGGGAGGUGAAGGAGCAGAUGUGUUUGUUCAAAUUUUACUGAAGGACCCCAUCUUGAAGGACGACCCGACGGUGAUCACUCAGGACCUUCUGAGCUUCUCACUCAGGGAUGGGCACUAUGAUGCCCGGGCCAGAGUCCUUGUUUGCCACAUGACCUCCCUGCUCCAAGUGCCCUUGGAGGAGCUGGAUGUCCUUGAAGAGACGUUCCUGGAGAGCCUGAAGGAAAUCAAAGAGGAGGAAUCUGAAAUGGCCAGGCAUCCCGAAGAAGAAAGAAAACCGGAGGAAAUGGAAGCGUUAUCUCCUGAUAGGCCUGGCGACUGUCGGAGGCGGAACGGUGAUCG